RNAcentral lists this ribosomal RNA (465 nucleotides) under uncultured bacterium. RNAcentral describes it as "partial 16S ribosomal RNA". It matches the Rfam family "Bacterial small subunit ribosomal RNA", at positions 28 to 507 of the family's 1533-position model. The record is from RNAcentral.
GACGAACGCUGGCGGCGUGCUUAACACAUGCAAGUCGAACGGAAAGGCCCCUUUGGGGGUACUCGAGUGGCGAACGGGUGAGUAACACGUGAGUAACCUGCCCUUGACUUCGGGAUAACUUCAGGAAACUGGGGCUAAUACCGGAUAGGAAUCCUUGCUGCAUGGUGGGGGUUGGAAAGCUUCGGCGGUUUUGGAUGGACUCGCGGCUUAUCAGCUUGUUGGUGGGGUAGUGGCUUACCAAGGCUUUGACGGGUAGCCGGCCUGAGAGGGCGACCGGCCACAUUGGGACUGAGAGACGGCCCAGACUCCUACGGGAGGAAGCAGUGGGGAAUAUUGCACAAUGGGCGGAAGCCUGAUGCAGCAACGCCGCGUGCGGGAUGACGGCCUUCGGGUUGUAAACCGCUUUCAGCAGGGGCGAAGCUUGUGGUGACGGUACCUGCAGAAGAAGCACCGGCUAACUACGUG